GCUGGGUGUGGUGGCGCACGCCUGUAGUCCCAGCUACUCGGGAGGCUGAGGCAGGAGAAUUGCUUGAACCAGGGAGGCAGAGAUUGCAGUGAGCUGAGAUCGUGCCACUGCGCUCUAGCCUGGCAACAAAGCAAGACUCUGUCUCAA
This 147-nucleotide small RNA is filed under the name Macaca fascicularis (crab-eating macaque). RNAcentral describes it as "Metazoan signal recognition particle RNA (ENSMFAG00000050872.1)". The record is from Rfam by way of RNAcentral. Lineage: Eukaryota; Metazoa; Chordata; Mammalia; Primates; Cercopithecidae.